This 434-nucleotide ribosomal RNA is filed under the name uncultured Lachnospiraceae bacterium. RNAcentral describes it as "bacterial SSU rRNA". It matches the Rfam family "Bacterial small subunit ribosomal RNA", at positions 341 to 792 of the family's 1533-position model. Lineage: Bacteria; Bacillati; Bacillota; Clostridia; Lachnospirales; Lachnospiraceae. The record is from RNAcentral.
ACGGGAGGCAGCAGUGGGGAAUAUUGGACAAUGGGGGAAACCCUGAUCCAGCGACGCCGCGUGAGUGAAGAAGUAUUUCGGUAUGUAAAGCUCUAUCAGCAAGGAAGAAAAUGACGGUACUUGACUAAGAAGCUCCGGCUAAAUACGUGCCAGCAGCCGCGGUAAUACGUAUGGAGCAAGCGUUAUCCGGAUUUACUGGGUGUAAAGGGAGCGUAGACGGCGAAGCAAGUCUGAAGUGAAAUGCCGGGGCUUAACCCCGGAACUGCUUUGGAAACUGUUUUGCUAGAGUGCAGGAGAGGUAAGCGGAAUUCCUAGUGUAGCGGUGAAAUGCGUAGAUAUUAGGAGGAACACCAGUGGCGAAGGCGGCUUACUGGGCUGUAACUGACGUUGAGGCUCGAAAGCGUGGGGAGCAAACAGGAUUAGAUACCCUGGUA